Molecule: ribosomal RNA, 492 nt
Filed under: uncultured bacterium
Lineage: Bacteria
Description: partial 16S ribosomal RNA
Rfam family: Bacterial small subunit ribosomal RNA
Source: RNAcentral
AGUGAACGCUGGCGGUAGGCCUAACACAUGCAAGUCGAACGGCAGCACAGUAAGAGCUUGCUCUUACGGGUGGCGAGUGGCGGACGGGUGAGGAAUACAUCGGAAUCUACUUUUUCGUGGGGGAUAACGUAGGGAAACUUACGCUAAUACCGCAUACGACCUACGGGUGAAAGCAGGGGAUCUUCGGACCUUGCGCGAUUGAAUGAGCCGAUGUCGGAUUAGCUAGUUGGCGGGGUAAAGGCCCACCAAGGCGACGAUCCGUAGCUGGCCUGAGAGGAUGAUCAGCCACACUGGAACUGAGACACGGUCCAGACUCCUACGGGAGGCAGCAGUGGGGAAUAUUGGACAAUGGGCGCAAGCCUGAUCCAGCCAUACCGCGUGGGUGAAGAAGGCCUUCGGGUUGUAAAGCCCUUUUGUUGGGAAAGAAAAGCAGCAGGCUAAUACCCCGCUGUUCUGACGGUACCCAAAGAAUAAGCACCGGCUAACUUCGUG